CCCUUAGAUGUUCUGGGCCGCACGCGCGCUACACUGAUUCAUGCAACAAGUUUUGUCCCUGGCUGAUAGGCCUGGGUAAUCUUUGAACGUGAAUCGUGAUGGGGAUAGAUGAUUGCAAUUAUUCAUCUUCAACGAGGAAUUCCUAGUAAACGCAAGUCAUCAGCUUGCAUUGAUUACGUCCCUGCCCUUUGUACACACCGCCCGUCGCACCUACCGAUUGAAUGGUCCGGUGAAAUCUUCGGAUCUGAGAGAUGUCUGAUUAAUUUCGGACGCCUUUUGGAAAAGUUGUUUAAACCUUACCAUUUAGAGGAAGGUGAAGUCGUANCA
This 327-nucleotide ribosomal RNA is filed under the name uncultured eukaryote. Its description in RNAcentral is "partial 18S ribosomal RNA". It matches the Rfam family "Eukaryotic small subunit ribosomal RNA", at positions 1470 to 1796 of the family's 1831-position model. The record is from RNAcentral.